RNAcentral lists this ribosomal RNA (421 nucleotides) under uncultured fungus. Its description in RNAcentral is "eukaryotic LSU rRNA". The stretch from base 1 to 125 matches the Rfam family "5.8S ribosomal RNA", at positions 30 to 154 of the family's 154-position model. The record is from RNAcentral. Lineage: Eukaryota; Fungi.
GCAUCGAUGAAGAACGCAGCGAAAUGCGAUACGUAAUGUGAAUUGCAGAAUUCAGUGAACCAUCGAAUCUUCGAACGCGAAUUGCGCUUUCGGGUAUUCCCGGGAGCAUGUCUGUUUGAGUGUCGUGAUGAACCUCACCCCGCAUGAUUGUGGUGGUGGAAGUGAGUGUUGGCGGACUGUUGCGCGAGCGAUGGGUUGCCGAGACUUUAAGGACGCUGAGCUUUGGCUUGUAGCCCGAGUUCACCAUGAUGUGACAGCGAUGACUCGUUAUGGUGAGAGAGGAGCGGUAUAGCCUGUUGUAGCUCUUCUUCUUGUUGCGCUGGUGCACUCUUGUUAGUGUAGUUGCGGAACAGCAUCCAACUUUUGACCUCAAAUCAGAUAAGACUACCCGCUGAACUUAAGCAUAUCAAUAAGCGGAGGA